CCACAAAUGGAUUUCCUUUAAAGAAUUAUUUUGUUGUUGUUCCAAAUUUGCUGAUUAUUUUUUAUUUAUGGGAUUUAAAGAUAAAUCCAGUUACGAAAUUUUAUAUAGUUGAGAAAUCAAGCUUAAGAAAGUAAGCCAAUUAAGGCAAAUAUAGUGCCAGCAGCCGCGGUCAUACUAUAUUGGUAAGCAAACAGGAUUAGUUAUUAUUGAAUUUAAUAUAAAAAUUAUUUUUCGUAGUGAAAUACAAAUGUAUUAAAAUGCAAAAAAAUUAAAUAAAUGUAAAGAAACUCUACACAACAAACAAGGAUUAGAUACCCUUUUAUGAAGAAUUUAAAAAAUAAUCACUGGGCAUUAAAGUAAUAAAACCCAAACCCAAAUAACAUGGCGGUAAUUUUAAUACUUAGGGGAACUUACCUAUUAAAUGAUAACCACCAAGAAAAGCUAUUUCUGGUAAAAUUUUGUAUGCCGUCGUCUAAACUUAAUUAGAUAUUAAGUUAAAACCCUUAAGGAGUAAGACAGAUCAAGGUGCAGAUUAUCCAGAAAAUUAAGGCGAGUUACAAUAUUAAAUUAUUUCUAUAUACCUAUAAAUAAAGGCUUGUUAGAUGGACUUAAAAGUAAGAAUAAAUAAAGAUAAAAUCUGAAUUUCAAUAAAAUUGUGC
RNAcentral lists this ribosomal RNA (659 nucleotides) under Monacha cantiana. Its description in RNAcentral is "partial 12S small subunit ribosomal RNA". Lineage: Eukaryota; Metazoa; Mollusca; Gastropoda; Stylommatophora; Hygromiidae. The record is from RNAcentral.